CCCAGGCGACUGAAGCCUUGUACUGCCGAAGCAUUGUCCAUCCGGAGGGGAACGCAGUAAAUGAUUCGCCAACUCCUAAUUACGAACUAACCCGCAAGCAGUUCCCGGUCGUUCAUGGGGAACUCCGACCCCAUCACCAACCAUGGAUCGUCAGGAUUGAUGCAGAGGGGAGGUCCACCACUCAUAGGUCUACGGGACGACAGGUGAAUUGGUUGGGUCUGUCCUACCAAGGGAAUUGGCAAAAACUUUUGGCACUCAUUGUCCGCCGGGACAGAGAGGCAUGCGUCCAACCAAUCCAGUUCCGUGAACCCUCCUGAAGUGAUGGUAUACCACAACGGCAUUUAAGAUUCUCCGGUAAAACACAGAGUGGGAAAAAAAAACAGACCUUGUUCCUACCAUAAAAUUGGGGAGAAGCACAGAGCUCAGUCUUGUAAGGAAAAAAAUAGGUCUAGGACAGCAUCCUCUGAGCAAGUCUUGG
Non-coding RNA from Pelobates cultripes (western spadefoot toad), 478 nucleotides. NCBI's taxonomy places the organism in Eukaryota, Metazoa, Chordata, Amphibia, Anura, Pelobatidae. The record is from the annotation of a GenBank genome assembly.